RNAcentral lists this ribosomal RNA (301 nucleotides) under uncultured bacterium. RNAcentral describes it as "partial 16S ribosomal RNA". It matches the Rfam family "Bacterial small subunit ribosomal RNA", at positions 509 to 807 of the family's 1533-position model. The record is from RNAcentral.
CAGCCGCCACGGGAAUACGAAGGGGGAUAGCGUUGCUCGGAAUUACUGGGCGUAAAGGGAGCGUAGGCGGACACUUAAGUCAGGGGUGAAAUCCCGGGGCUCAACCUCGGAAUUGCCUUUGAUACUGGGUGUCUUGAGUAUGAGAGAGGUAUGUGGAACUCCGAGUGUAGAGGUGAAAUUCGUAGAUAUUCGGAAGAACACCAGUGGCGAAGGCGACAUACUGGCUCAUUACUGACGCUGAGGCUCGAAAGCGUGGGGAGCAAACAGGAUUAGAUACCCGAGUAGUCCCUGUCUCUUAUAC